This 36-nucleotide ribosomal RNA is filed under the name Aplanochytrium stocchinoi. RNAcentral's name for it is "partial Eukaryotic small subunit ribosomal RNA". The record is from RNAcentral. Lineage: Eukaryota; Bigyra; Thraustochytrida; Thraustochytriidae.
AUCUGGUUGAUCCUGCCAGUAGUCAUACGCUCGUCU